UACGGGGGGAGCAAGCGUUGUUCGGAUUUACUGGGCGUAAAGGGCGCGUAGGCGGCCACUGCAAGUCAGUUGUGAAAUCUCCGGGCUUAACCCGGAAAGGUCAACUGAUACUGCAGGGCUAGAGUGCAGAAGGGGCAACUGGAAUUCUCGGUGUAGCGGUGAAAUGCGUAGAUAUCGAGAGGAACACCUGCGGCGAAAGCGGCGCGCUGGACCACUACUGACGCUGAGGAACGAAAGCUAGGGGAGCAAACAGG
RNAcentral lists this ribosomal RNA (254 nucleotides) under uncultured bacterium. RNAcentral's name for it is "partial 16S ribosomal RNA". It matches the Rfam family "Bacterial small subunit ribosomal RNA", at positions 524 to 776 of the family's 1533-position model. The record is from RNAcentral.